UCUUCAGGCGAACAUUGACAUCGAAGUGAUACCCUAUGAUAUCAAGAAAAAUCCUAUGGAACAAAGAAGCAGAUAAUGAUCACAGAAGUGCAACAAAGAGCACCAGGACCUGAUCAUCAAAUGUUAUGGUGUAGAUCUAAUCAGGAACAAGACACCUAAGUUGAACUCUGGCAAGGUUGUCCCAUGCAGAAGGUUUGAUACCCAGGCUUCUUUUGUACAAGUCCCUAGUCCACCCUCAUCUUGAGAACUGUUCCGGUGUCUGGGAUCCCUACAACAUCUCAGAUGUCCAGGACGCUACUUCACAAUGGGGACCACAAGAGAAGCAGCAGUUUGACUGAGAUGAUCAGCACCUUUUAGUUGCCUACUAUAUCUACAACUACAAGGCACUCUGCAAGAAGACUGGGAAUGGUGCACAAGAUAGUCAAUGGUCUCUCCGCUCUUCCUUGAAAAUUUUCCCACUGCACUACUUAUAGCUACUUGCGCCCUCUAUAUAGCAAACAAUGCCUAAUCUGUGCCUGUUGGUCCCCCAUGAUCCUCUUUUUCUUAUAUUAAUUG
This is a long non-coding RNA of Strongylocentrotus purpuratus (purple sea urchin), 555 nucleotides long. RefSeq lists it as uncharacterized. The transcript is spliced from 3 exons. Lineage: Eukaryota; Metazoa; Echinodermata; Echinoidea; Camarodonta; Strongylocentrotidae. The record is from RefSeq and is a predicted model, not a curated record.